RNAcentral lists this ribosomal RNA (253 nucleotides) under uncultured bacterium. RNAcentral's name for it is "partial 16S ribosomal RNA". It matches the Rfam family "Bacterial small subunit ribosomal RNA", at positions 524 to 776 of the family's 1533-position model. The record is from RNAcentral.
UACGUAGGGGCCUAGCGUUGUCCGGAUUUAUUGGGCGUAAAGGGCGCGUAGGCGGCUUGGCAAGUGGAAGGUGAAAUCCCUCGGCUUAACCGAGGAACUGCCUUCCAGACUGCUUUGCUUGAGGCCGGGAGAGGCGAGUGGAAUUCCCAGUGUAGCGGUGAAAUGCGUAGAUAUUGGGAGGAACACCAGUGGCGAAGGCGACUUCCUGGCCUGUUCUUGACGCUGAGGCGCGAAAGCUAGGGGAGCAAACGGG